RNAcentral lists this long non-coding RNA (449 nucleotides) under Dromaius novaehollandiae (emu). RNAcentral's name for it is "lncRNA (ENSDNVG00000017197.1)". Lineage: Eukaryota; Metazoa; Chordata; Aves; Casuariiformes; Dromaiidae. The record is from RNAcentral.
GCACAGCAGCAGUUUAGUGCACUAAGUUUACUGUCCCCUGUAAAAGCCAUAACGUACUGGUUUCUUUUGCAGAACAAAGUGACCACCAAAAGCGGGACUUUGUGGGCCAGUUGGAUAAAACAUAAGCUCAUCUCGCCCCCAAAACCCCGACUCUGGAACCACAACCUUCCGAGAUUCAAUUUAAAGAGAAGAAAAGUGCAAGGGGAAAAAAAGAAGAGCAAGCAGGAAAUAACUAGCGAAGAUCCACUCGGCGCUGCCACAAAGACACCUCUCGCCUUCCCACUCCCUCUCCAUGCUCGCUCCUGCGGCAGCGCUGCACRGCGGCGCCGCGCUCGGCUCCGCGGGCCGCCGCGCCGGAGCGCCGCGGGGUGCGCGGAGUCCCGCACCGGCCGAAAAUCGGGUUUUUUCCUAGAAACUACCUCCAAAUAUAGUAACGGGGAAGGGGCAUU